Molecule: ribosomal RNA, 417 nt
Filed under: Virgibacillus profundi
Lineage: Bacteria; Bacillati; Bacillota; Bacilli; Caryophanales; Bacillaceae
Description: bacterial SSU rRNA
Rfam family: Bacterial small subunit ribosomal RNA
Source: RNAcentral
AGGUAGACGUAACAGGAUUAGAUACCCUGGUAGUCCACGCCGUAAACGAUGCUAACUCGUUUUUGGUUUUUCGGAAUCAGAGACUAAGCGAAAGUGAUAAGUUAGCCACCUGGGGAGUACGUUCGCAAGAAUGAAACUCAAAGGAAUUGACGGGGGCCCGCACAAGCGGUGGAUUAUGUGGUUUAAUUCGAUGAUACGCGAGGAACCUUACCAAGGCUUAAAUGGGAAUUGAUUGGUUUAGAAAUAGACCGUCCUUCGGGCAAUUUUCAAGGUGCUGCAUGGUUGUCGUCAGCUCGUGCCGUGAGGUGUUAGGUUAAGUCCUGCAACGAGCGCAACCCCUGUCACUAGUUGCCAUCAUUCAGUUGGGGACUCUAGUGAGACUGCCUACGCAAGUAGAGAGGAAGGUGGGGAUGACGU